RNAcentral lists this ribosomal RNA (253 nucleotides) under uncultured bacterium. Its description in RNAcentral is "partial 16S ribosomal RNA". It matches the Rfam family "Bacterial small subunit ribosomal RNA", at positions 524 to 776 of the family's 1533-position model. The record is from RNAcentral.
UACAGAGGGUGCGAGCGUUAAUCGGAAUUACUGGGCGUAAAGCGUGCGUAGACGGUUCUGUAAGUCGGAUGUGAAAUCCCCGGGCUCAACCUGGGAAUUGCAUUCGAGACUGCAAAGCUUGGGUGCGGAAGAGGGAAGCGGAAUUUCCGGUGUAGCGGUGAAAUGCGUAGAUAUCGGAAGGAACACCAGUGGCGAAAGCGGCUUCCUGGUCCAGCACCGACGUUCAGGCACGAAAGCGUGGGGAGCAAACAGG